UUGUUGCGGUUAAAAAGCUCGUAGUCGAAUUUGUGUCCCGCGCCGCCGGUUCAUCGCUCGCGGUGUUUAACUGGCGUGUCCGCGGGACGUCCUGCCGGUGGGCUCAGCCUCCUCCUCUCUGGGGUGGGGGCGGCCCAACUUCAAAUCCCACCGCGGUGCUCUUUGCCGAGUGUCGAGGUGGGCCGGCACGUUUACUUUGAACAAAUUAGAGUGCUUAAAGCAGGCUAAAACUUCGCCUGAAUACUGUGUGCAUGGAAUAAUGGAAUAGGACCUCGGUUCUAUUUUGUUGGUUUUCGGAACUCCGAGGUAAUGAUUAAUAGGAACGGAUGGGGGCAUUCGUAUUGCGACGUUAGAGGUGAAAUUCUUGGAUCGUCGCAAGACGGACAGAAGCGAAAGCAUUUGCCAAAAACGCUUUCAUUGAUCAAGAACGAAAGUUAGAGGUUCGAAGGCGAUCAGAUACCGCCCUAGUUCUAACCAUAAACGAUGCCAGCUAGCGAUCCGCCGACGUUCCUCCGAUGACUCGGCGGGCAGCUUCCGGGAAACCAAAGCUUUUGGGUUCCGGGGGAAGUAUGGUUGCAAAGCUGAAACUUAAAGGAAUUGACGGAAGGGCACCACCAGGAGUGGAGCCUGCGGCUUAAUUUGACUCAACACGGGAAACCUCACCAGGCCCGGACACCGGAAGGAUUGACAGAUUGACAGCUCUUUCUUGAUUCGGUGGGUGGUGGUGCAUGGCCGUUCUUAGUUGGUGGAGCGAUUUGUCUGGUUAAUUC
RNAcentral lists this ribosomal RNA (770 nucleotides) under Propomacrus bimucronatus. RNAcentral's name for it is "SSU rRNA". It matches the Rfam family "Eukaryotic small subunit ribosomal RNA", at positions 610 to 1325 of the family's 1831-position model. The record is from RNAcentral. Lineage: Eukaryota; Metazoa; Arthropoda; Insecta; Coleoptera; Glaphyridae.